This 413-nucleotide ribosomal RNA is filed under the name uncultured prokaryote. RNAcentral describes it as "bacterial SSU rRNA". It matches the Rfam family "Bacterial small subunit ribosomal RNA", at positions 505 to 918 of the family's 1533-position model. The record is from RNAcentral.
GUGCCAGCCGCCGCGGUAAUACGAAAGGGGCUAGCGUUGUUCGGAAUUACUGGGCGUAAAGCGCGCGUAGGCGGCCUUGCAAGUUGGGGGUGAAAUCCCGGAGCUCAACUCCGGAACUGCCUUCAAAACUGCAAAGCUAGAGGAUGCGAGAGGUGAGCGGAAUUCCGAGUGUAGAGGUGAAAUUCGUAGAUAUUCGGAAGAACACCAGUGGCGAAGGCGGCUCACUGGCGCAUUUCUGACGCUGAGGCGCGAAAGCGUGGGGAGCAAACAGGAUUAGAUACCCUGGUAGUCCACGCCGUAAACGAUGAGGGCUAGUUGUCGGGCGGCUUGCCGUUCGGUGACGCAGCUAACGCAUUAAGCCCUCCGCCUGGGGAGUACGGUCGCAAGAUUAAAACUCAAAUGAAUUGACGGGG